This 431-nucleotide long non-coding RNA is filed under the name Ictidomys tridecemlineatus (thirteen-lined ground squirrel). Its description in RNAcentral is "lncRNA (ENSSTOG00000032768.1)". Lineage: Eukaryota; Metazoa; Chordata; Mammalia; Rodentia; Sciuridae. The record is from RNAcentral.
UUUUAUUUUAACCCUAAGAUGGAUCUAAAAGAACAGUCUUGGGAUAAGAGAACCUGAAGCCAACUGACCACGGAGAGAUGCUGAACUCUGUUGCGAACUUUUUCCCCUCAACACCUCCUUGAACUUGGAUUAACAAGUUUUGUAAGAAACCACCAGAUCUUACUUUCCACGGGCAUCGGUGGACUCUUCGCACGCUAAGUCUGGGGCUUUUGUCCGUUAUUUAGGUGGAGUUGUCUGUUUUAAGCUGGUGACUCUGCCCUCAGGAUGGUGUAGGUAACCAGGUGAGAAGACUGGACCUGCUGUGGAGUGUCUGGAAGGCCGGAGUGCUGCCCACCAGUCCCAGCAGGCGAGACCUGUGGAGAGGCUGCCUGCCUGCUUUCUUGGUUUCAUGCCACAGAGCAGCCAGAAACAGGACCUUCUCUAUUGCGCCA